Molecule: ribosomal RNA, 216 nt
Filed under: Glomeromycotina sp.
Lineage: Eukaryota; Fungi; Glomeromycota
Description: partial small subunit ribosomal RNA
Rfam family: Eukaryotic small subunit ribosomal RNA (bases 75-216)
Source: RNAcentral
GGGUCAGUAGGUUGGUCGUGCCACCGGUACGUACUGGUCUCACUGAUUCCUCCUCCCUGAAGAACCGUAAUGCCAUUAAUUUGGUGUUGCGGGGAAACAGGACUGUUACUUUGAAAAAAUUAGAGUGUUUAAAGCAAGCUAGCGCUUGAAUACAUUAGCAUGGAAUAAUGAAAUAGGACGAUCGAUCCUAUUUUGUUGGUUUCUAGGAUUGACGUA